GACGAACGCUGGCGGCGUGCUUAACACAUGCAAGUCGAACGGAAAGGCCCUGCUUUUGUGGGGUGCUCGAGUGGCGAACGGGUGAGUAACACGUGAGUAACCUGCCCUUGACUUUGGGAUAACUUCAGGAAACUGGGGCUAAUACCGGAUAGGAGCUCCUGCUGCAUGGUGGGGGUUGGAAAGUUUCGGCGGUUGGGGAUGGACUCGCGGCUUAUCAGCUUGUUGGUGGGGUAGUGGCUUACCAAGGCUUUGACGGGUAGCCGGCCUGGGAGGGUGACCGGCCACAUUGGGACUGAGGUACGGCCCAGAGUCCUACGGGAGGCAGCAGUGGGGAAUAUUGCACAAUGGGCGGAAGCCUGAUGCAGCAACGCCGCGUGCGGGAUGACGGCCUUCGGGUUGUAAACCGCUUUCGCCUGUGACGAAGCGUGAGUGACGGUAAUGGGUAAAGAAGCACCGGCUAACUACGUG
RNAcentral lists this ribosomal RNA (468 nucleotides) under uncultured bacterium. Its description in RNAcentral is "partial 16S ribosomal RNA". It matches the Rfam family "Bacterial small subunit ribosomal RNA", at positions 28 to 507 of the family's 1533-position model. The record is from RNAcentral.